GAUGAACGCUGGCGGCGUGCUUAACACAUGCAAGUCGAACGAAGCAUUUGCGACAGAUUUUUUCGGAAUGAAGUUGCUUAUGACUGAGUGGCGGACGGGUGAGUAACGCGUGGGUAACCUGCCUUGUACUGGGGGAUAGCAGCUGGAAACGGCUGGUAAUACCGCAUAAGCGCACAAUGUUGCAUGACAUGGUGUGAAAAACUCCGGUGGUAUAAGAUGGACCCGCGUCUGAUUAGCUAGUUGGUGAGAUAACAGCCCACCAAGGCGACGAUCAGUAGCCGACCUGAGAGGGUGACCGGCCACAUUGGGACUGAGACACGGCCCAGACUCCUACGGGAGGCAGCAGUGGGGAAUAUUGCACAAUGGAGGAAACUCUGAUGCAGCGACGCCGCGUGAGUGAAGAAGUAAUUCGUUAUGUAGAGCUCUAUCAGCAGGGAAGAUAGUGACGGUACCUGACUAAGAAGCUCCGGCUAAAUACGUG
RNAcentral lists this ribosomal RNA (481 nucleotides) under uncultured bacterium. RNAcentral describes it as "partial 16S ribosomal RNA". It matches the Rfam family "Bacterial small subunit ribosomal RNA", at positions 28 to 507 of the family's 1533-position model. The record is from RNAcentral.